UAGAAUAUUUAAGUGGCAUCACUUUGAAUAUUAAAACUCCGGUGGACAGAGAUGAGCGUGCGUCCUAUUAGGUAGUUGGUAGGGUAACGGCCUACCAAGCCGACGAUAGGUAGCUGAUGUGAGAGCAUGAUCAGCCACACGGGCACUGAGACACGGGCCCGACUCCUACGGGAGGCAGCAGUGAGGAAUAUUGGUCAAUGGACGCAAGUCUGAACCAGCCAUGCCGCGUGAAGGAUGAAGGCGUUCUGCGUUGUAAACUUCUUUUAUCUGGGAAGAAACCUACGAUUUUUAUUGUAGCCGACGGUACCAGAGGAAUAAGCACCGGCUAACUCCGUGCCAGCAGCCGCGGUAAUACGGAGGGUGCAAGCGUUAUCCGGAUUCACUGGGUUUAAAGGGUGUGUAGGCGGAUAUUUAAGUCCGAGGUGAAAUCUCUGAGCUUAACUCAGAAACUGCCUUGGAUACUAUUUACCUUGAAUAUCGUUGAGGUAGGCGGAAUAUGUCAUGUAGCGGUGAAAUGCAUAGAUAUGACAUAGAACACCGAUUGCGAAGGCAGCUUGCUAAACGAUUAUUGACGCUGAGGCACGAAAGCGUGGGGAUCAAACAGGAUUAGAUACCCUGGUAGUCCACGCCCUAAACGAUGAUUACUCGACAUACGCGAUA
RNAcentral lists this ribosomal RNA (660 nucleotides) under uncultured bacterium. RNAcentral's name for it is "bacterial SSU rRNA". It matches the Rfam family "Bacterial small subunit ribosomal RNA", at positions 173 to 831 of the family's 1533-position model. The record is from RNAcentral.